GGUUUAAUUACCCAAAUUUAAGGUAACUGAGUGUUUCGGACCAGAGCUUCGGCUAUUGUGGCUUGAAGCAAAAUUUUGGGACGUCCUGCAAUUCUGUGGGACAAC
Molecule: small RNA, 105 nt
Filed under: Loa loa (African eye worm)
Lineage: Eukaryota; Metazoa; Nematoda; Chromadorea; Rhabditida; Onchocercidae
Description: sL1 RNA
Rfam family: SL1 RNA
Source: Rfam by way of RNAcentral